Molecule: ribosomal RNA, 677 nt
Filed under: Menticirrhus saxatilis (northern kingfish)
Lineage: Eukaryota; Metazoa; Chordata; Actinopteri; Sciaenidae
Description: partial 12S ribosomal RNA
Rfam family: Bacterial small subunit ribosomal RNA
Source: RNAcentral
CACCGCGGUUAUACGAGGGACCCAAGUCGAUAGUCAACGGCGUAAAGAGUGGUUAGGAGAAGUCCAUUACUAAAGCCGAACGCCCUCAAGGCUGUUAUACGCAUCCGAAGGUGAGAAGCCCGUCCACGAAAGUGGCUUUAUGACCCUGAACCCACGAAAGCUAAGAAACAAACUGGGAUUAGAUACCCCACUAUGCUUAGUCCUAAACAUUGACAACAACACACGCCUGUUGUCCGCCUGGGGACUACGAGCACCAGCUUAAAACCCAAAGGACUUGGCGGUGCUUUAGAUCCACCUAGAGGAGCCUGUUCUAGAACCGAUACCCCCCGUUCAACCUCACCCUUCUUUGUUCCCCCCGCCUAUAUACCGCCGUCGUCAGCUUACCCUGUGAAGGAUUCAUAGUAAGCAAAAUUGGCACAGCCCCAAACGCCAGGUCGAGGUGUAGCGUAUGGAAGGGGAAGAAAUGGGCUACAUUCUCUAACCUCAGAGAAAACAAAUGAUGCACUGAAACACACAUCUGAAGGAGGAUUUAGCAGUAAGCAGGAAAUAGAGUGUCCUGCUGAAAUUGGCCCUGAAGCGCGCACACACCGCCCGUCACUCUCCCCCGACUAGACCGAGCUAGUUAAAUUACACCAUCACCCUAGGACUGUGGGGAGGCAAGUCGUANAUGGUAAGUG